Molecule: ribosomal RNA, 371 nt
Filed under: uncultured bacterium
Lineage: Bacteria
Description: bacterial SSU rRNA
Rfam family: Bacterial small subunit ribosomal RNA
Source: RNAcentral
UAAGGAAUAACGUCGAGAAAUCGGCGCUAAUACCUCAUAAUGCAGCGGAUCGCAUGGAGUAUGUUGUUAAAGGUUUACCGCCUUGGGAUAGGCUUGCGUCUGAUUAGUUAGUUGGUGUGGUAACGGCACACCAAGGCUACGAUCAGUAACUGGUCUGAGAGGAUGAUCAGUCACACUGGAACUGAGACACGGUCCAGACUCCUACGGGAGGCAGCAGUGAGGAAUAUUGGGCAAUGCUCGAAAGAGUGACCCAGCAACGCCGCGUGGAGGAUGAAGGUAUUCUAUAUCGUAAACUCCUGUGAGAGCAGACGAAAGACAGAUUAUUAAUCUGGAUGACUGUAUGCUCAGAGGAAGCCCCGGCUAACUACGUG